CGCUUCGUCAGACUCCAGCGGCGAAUGGCGGGGCAGGAAUGAGAGUCGCUGAAGCUCGGUGAGCAGCUCGCAUCAGCAGAGGACCCGUAGACAUACAGAAACCAUAUAUAAUUUAAUCUGUGCUCAUUUGGCCCAUCCAAAAUGCCUGCCCUGGGAUCGCUCCCAGCCGAAGCCUCCUCUGGUCCGCUCCCCGCGGCUCCUUCCGUGCUUCGCUCCGAAGCCUCUACCGGUCCGCUCUCCGCGGCUCCUUCCGGGCUUCUACUUCCCCCCAGGGGUGGCACCAGUAUAUAUACGGAUACAGUGUCCAAUCAUAUUAAAGUAAGCAAGGCAAGCUGAUUGGCUAACAUAUUAUUGAGCGGGUUGUUUACGCGGUAAGCAGGAAACUAACGUGCUCGAUGGGAGGGGUAAUCUAACUCAGGCUUUGCUCUUUACCACAGGCCGCAUGAUCGCUAUAUGCGGCGGCUCGGCAAUGUGGUGGCUCCCAACAUCUCCCCCUUUUUUAUUUUAAAUAAGUCUACGCAUCGCAGCCCGUCCUGAAUUGAGUGUAGAGGCCUGUGCCCUGAUAGGAGGCCCACCAAGGGCUCUCGGCGUCGGCCCGGGUCGGCCGUCCCCGAGUCUGCCGAGGCCCCGAGGCCCUCGUCCUUUUUCCAGGGCCAGGAAGGAACCGGACGGAACCUGGAUGCACACAGGCAUACACUCAUGUCGCUCCGCAUGAUCCCCCCGGGGCGACAUUU
Long non-coding RNA from Cavia porcellus (domestic guinea pig), 734 nucleotides. RefSeq lists it as uncharacterized. The transcript is spliced from 3 exons. NCBI's taxonomy places the organism in Eukaryota, Metazoa, Chordata, Mammalia, Rodentia, Caviidae. The record is from RefSeq and is a predicted model, not a curated record.